UUCCGGUUGAUCCUGCGGAGGCCUCUGCUAUUGGGGUCCGACUAAGCCAUGCGAGUCAUGGGGCGCCUUGCGCGCACCGGCGGACGGCUCAGUAACACGUCGGUAACCUACCCUCGGGAGGGGGAUAACCCCGGGAAACUGGGGCUAAUCCCCCAUAGGUUUAGGGCACUGGAAGGUCCCUAAACCGAAAGGGGGCUCUGCCCGCCCGAGGAUGGGCCGGCGGCCGAUUAGGUAGUUGGUGGGGUAACGGCCCACCAAGCCUAUAAUCGGUACGGGCAGUGAGAGCUGGAGCCCGGAGAUGGACACUGAGACACGGGUCCAGGCCCUACGGGGCGCAGCAGGCGCGAAACCUCCGCAAUGCUCGAAAGAGCGACGGGGGGACCCCAAGUGCCGUGGUACAACCACGGCUUUUCCGGAGUGUAAGAAGCUCCGGGAAUAAGGGCUGGGCAAGGCCGGUGGCAGCCGCCGCGGUAAUACCGGCGGCCCGAGUGGUGGCCACUAUUAUUGGGCCUAAAGCGUCCGUAGCCGGGCUUGUAAGUCCCUGGCGAAAUCCCACGGCUCAACCGUGGGGCUUGCUGGGGAUACUGCAAGCCUUGGGACCGGGAGAGGCCGGGGGUACUCCUGGGGUAGGGGUGAAAUCCUAUAAUCCCAGGAGGACCGCCAGUGGCGAAGGCGCCCGGCUGGAACGGGUCCGACGGUGAGGGACGAAGGCCAGGGGAGCAAACCGGAUUAGAUACCCGGGUAGUCCUGGCUGUAAAGGAUGCGGGCUAGGUGUUGCUUGGACUUCGAGUCCAAGCAGUGCCGCAGGGAAGCCGUUAAGCCCGCCGCCUGGGGAGUACGGCCGCAAGGCUGAAACUUAAAGGAAUUGGCGGGGGAGCACUACAAGGGGUAGAGGGUGCGGUUUAAUUGGAUCAACGCCGGAAAU
This 925-nucleotide ribosomal RNA is filed under the name uncultured archaeon. RNAcentral describes it as "bacterial SSU rRNA". It matches the Rfam family "Archaeal small subunit ribosomal RNA", at positions 1 to 925 of the family's 1478-position model. The record is from RNAcentral.